UCGGCUUAGAGUUUGAUCAUGGCUCAGGAUGAACGCUGGCGGCGUGCCUAAUACAUGCAAGUCGAACGAUCGGUGCUUGCACCGAAGUGGCGGACGGGUGAGUAACACGUGGGUAACCUGCCCUUAAGUGGGGGAUAACAUUUGGAAACAGAUGCUAAUACCGCAUAGAUCCAAGACCGCAUGGUUCUUGGCGAAAGAUGGUAAUAUCGCUUUUGGAUGGACCCGCGGCGUAUUAGCUAGUUGGUGAGGUAAUGGCUCACCAAGGCGAUGAUACGUAGCCGAACUGAGAGGUUGAUCGGCCACAUUGGGACUGAGACACGGCCCAAACUCCUACGGGAGGCAGCAGUAGGGAAUCUUCCACAAUGGACGCAAGUCUGAUGGAGCAACGCCGCGUGAGUGAAGAAGGCUUUCGGGUCGUAAAACUCUGUUGUUGGAGAAGAAUGGUCGGCAGGUAAUUGUCGGCGUGACGGUAUCCAACCAGAAAGCCACGGCUAACUACGUGCCAGCAGCCGCGGUAAUACGUAGGUGGCAAGCGUUAUCCGGAUUUAUUGGGCGUAAAGCGAGCGCAGGCGGUUUUUUAAGUCUGAUGUGAAAGCCCUCGGCUUAACCGAGGAAGCGCAUCGGAAACUGGGAAACUUGAGUGCAGAAGAGGACAGUGGAACUCCAUGUGUAGCGGUGAAAUGCGUAGAUAUAUGGAAGAAC
Molecule: ribosomal RNA, 702 nt
Filed under: uncultured Lactobacillus sp.
Lineage: Bacteria; Bacillati; Bacillota; Bacilli; Lactobacillales; Lactobacillaceae
Description: bacterial SSU rRNA
Rfam family: Bacterial small subunit ribosomal RNA
Source: RNAcentral